Molecule: unclassified non-coding RNA, 285 nt
Filed under: plant metagenome
Description: partial contains small subunit ribosomal RNA, internal transcribed spacer 1, and 5.8S ribosomal RNA
Rfam family: Eukaryotic small subunit ribosomal RNA (bases 1-54)
Source: RNAcentral
GGAAGUAAACGUCGUAACAAGGUUUCCGUAGGUGAACCUGCGGAAGGAUCAUUAUUGUAUAACCGAGGUGCGAGGGCUGUCGCUGACCCGAUAGGUCGUGCACGCCCGAGUGCCCUCACACACAUCCAUCUCACCCCUAUGUGCACCACCGCGUGGGUCCCCCUUUGGCUUGUUCGGAGGGGGGCUUACGUUUUCACACAAACUUUGUAUGCAGUGUAGAAUGUAUUUUUUGUUUUUGCGAUCACGCAAUCAAUACAACUUUCAACAACGGAUCUCUUGGUUCUC